UACGGAGGAUGCAAGCGUUGUUCGGAAUCACUGGGCUUAAAGAGCGUGUAGGUGGGGUGUCAGGCGUCGGGUGAAAUCCCUCGGCUCAACCGAGGAACUGCCUGGCGAACCGACAUUCUUGAGGCAGGUAGAGGUGGCUGGAACGACAGGUGGAGCGGUGAAAUGCGUAGAUAUCUGUUGGAACGCCGGCGGCGAAAGCGAGCCACUGGGCCUGUCCUGACACUGAGACGCGAAAGCGUGGGGAGCAAACAGG
Molecule: ribosomal RNA, 253 nt
Filed under: uncultured bacterium
Lineage: Bacteria
Description: partial 16S ribosomal RNA
Rfam family: Bacterial small subunit ribosomal RNA
Source: RNAcentral